RNAcentral lists this ribosomal RNA (654 nucleotides) under uncultured fungus. RNAcentral describes it as "eukaryotic LSU rRNA". It matches the Rfam family "Eukaryotic large subunit ribosomal RNA", at positions 24 to 664 of the family's 3401-position model. The record is from RNAcentral. Lineage: Eukaryota; Fungi.
CCCGCUGAACUUAAGCAUAUCAAUAAGCGGAGGAAAGAAACUAACAAGGAUUCCCCUAGUAACGGCGAGUGAAGAGGGAAGAGCUCAAAUUUUGAAUCUGGCGUCUUUGGCGUCCGAAUUGUAAUCUAGAGAAGUGUUUUCCGUGACGGACCGUGCACAAGUCUCCUGGAAUGGAGCGUCAUAGAGGGUGAGAAUCCCGUAUAUGGCACGGACUACCGUUGCUCUGUGAUACACUCUCGACGAGUCGAGUUGUUUGGGAAUGCAGCUCUAAAUGGGUGGUAAAUGCCAUCUAAAGCUAAAUAUUGGCGAGAGACCGAUAGCGAACAAGUACCGUGAGGGAAAGAUGAAAAGCACUUUGGAAAGAGAGUGAAACAGUACGUGAAAUUGUUGAAAGGGAAACGCUUGAAGUCAGUCGCGCCGUUCGGGAUUCAGCCUUGCUUCUGCUCGGUUUACUUCCCGUUGGGUGGGUCAACGUCAGUUUUGGUCGGAGGAGAAAGGCUUGGGGAAGGUGGCAGCAUUCGUGCUGUGUUAUAGCCCCAUGUUGUAUACUUCGGCUGGGACUGAGGACCGCAGCACGCCUUUGGCCGGGGUUCGCCCACGUACGUGCUUAGGAUGUUGGCAUAAUGGUUUUAAGCGACCCGUCUUGAAACACGG